This 834-nucleotide ribosomal RNA is filed under the name uncultured Actinomycetes bacterium. RNAcentral describes it as "bacterial SSU rRNA". It matches the Rfam family "Bacterial small subunit ribosomal RNA", at positions 35 to 874 of the family's 1533-position model. Lineage: Bacteria; Bacillati; Actinomycetota; Actinomycetes. The record is from RNAcentral.
GCUGGCGGUGCGCCUUAUGCAUGCAAGUUGAGCGAAGCUUUUUGGUAGUUUACUACUAGAAAUGACUGAGCGGCGAACGGGUGAGUAACGCGUGAGCAAUCUACCUUAGUUACUGGGAUAGCCCGAGGAAACUCGGAUUAAUACCGGAUAUUCUUAUUUUUUCACAUGAAGUUUUAAGGAAAGGUCAGCCGAACUAAGAUGAGCUCGCGUUCUAUCAGCUAGUUGGUGGGGUAAAAGCCUACCAAGGCUACGACGGAUAGCUGGUCUGAGAGGACGAUCAGCCACACUGGGACUGAGACACGGCCCAGACUCCUACGGGAGGCUGCAGCAGGGAAUAUUGUGCAAUGAGCGAAAGCUUGACACAGCGACACCGCGUGUGGGAUGACGGUUCUAGGAUUGUAAACCACUUUCAGGAGGGAAGAAAAUGACGGUACCUCCACAAGAAGACCCGGCCAACUAUGUGCCAGCAGCCGCGGUAAUACAUAGGGGUCAAGCGUUGUCCGGAUUUAUUGGGCGUAAAGAGCUCGUAGGCGGUUCAACAAGUCGGUCGUAAAAGUUUAGGGCUCAACCCUAAAAUGUCGAUUGAUACUGUUGUGACUAGGAUACGGUAGAGGUGAAUGGAAUUCCGAGUGUAGCGGUGAAAUGCGUAGAUAUUCGGAGGAACACCAAUUGCGAAGGCAGUUCACUGGACCGUGAUCGACGCUGAGGAGCGAAAGCUAGGGGAGCAAACAGGAUUAGAUACCCUGGUAGUCCUAGCUGUAAACGAUGGAUACUAGAUGUAGGAACUGGAUUGACGGUUUCUGUAUCGUAGCUAACGCGUUAAGUAUCCCGCCU